UAACAGUUGAUGGGUCUUUAGGAUGCAUGU
This 30-nucleotide non-coding RNA is filed under the name Mus musculus (house mouse). The record is from RNAcentral. Lineage: Eukaryota; Metazoa; Chordata; Mammalia; Rodentia; Muridae.